GGAAUAUUGGUCAAUGGAGGGAACUCUGAACCAGCCAUGCCGCGUGCAGGAUGACUGCCCUAUGGGUUGUAAACUGCUUUUGUCAGGGAAUAAACCUUUCCACGUGUGGGAAGCUGAAUGUACCUGAAGAAUAAGGAUCGGCUAACUCCGUGCCAGCAGCCGCGGUAAUACGGAGGAUCCAAGCGUUAUCCGGAUUUAUUGGGUUUAAAGGGUGCGUAGGCGGUCCUAUAAGUCAGUGGUGAAAGACGGCAGCUUAACUGUCGCAGUGCCUUUGAUACUGUAGGACUUGAAUCUAUUUGAAGUGGGCGGAAUAAGACAAGUAGCGGUGAAAUGCAUAGAUAUGUCUUAGAACUCCGAUUGCGAAGGCAGCUCACUAAGUUAGUAUUGACGCUGAUGCACGAAAGCGUGGGGAUCAAACAGGAUUAGAUACCCCAG
RNAcentral lists this ribosomal RNA (435 nucleotides) under uncultured Sphingobacterium sp. RNAcentral describes it as "bacterial SSU rRNA". It matches the Rfam family "Bacterial small subunit ribosomal RNA", at positions 358 to 790 of the family's 1533-position model. Lineage: Bacteria; Pseudomonadati; Bacteroidota; Sphingobacteriia; Sphingobacteriales; Sphingobacteriaceae. The record is from RNAcentral.